This 73-nucleotide transfer RNA is filed under the name Xanthocarpia ochracea. Its description in RNAcentral is "tRNA-Asp". The record is from RNAcentral. RNAcentral also lists the same sequence under 5 other names. Lineage: Eukaryota; Fungi; Ascomycota; Lecanoromycetes; Teloschistales; Teloschistaceae.
GAGUUAGUAGCUUAAUUGGUAGAGUCUUUUCUUGUCGAGAAAGAGGAUGCCGGAUCGUGACCGGUCUAACUCG